RNAcentral lists this transfer RNA (91 nucleotides) under Candidatus Woesearchaeota archaeon. RNAcentral's name for it is "tRNA-Arg". It matches the Rfam family "tRNA". From Rfam's summary of the family: Transfer RNA (tRNA) molecules are approximately 80 nucleotides in length. Their secondary structure includes four short double-helical elements and three loops (D, anti-codon, and T loops). Lineage: Archaea; Nanobdellati; Candidatus Woesearchaeota. The record is from RNAcentral.
UGACCUGUAGCCUAGUCUGGGCUAUUGAUGGGAUAAAUAAGGCACCAGCCUCCUAAGCUGGGGAUCGAGGGUUCGAAUCCCUCCAGGUCCG